RNAcentral lists this ribosomal RNA (437 nucleotides) under uncultured bacterium. Its description in RNAcentral is "bacterial SSU rRNA". It matches the Rfam family "Bacterial small subunit ribosomal RNA", at positions 339 to 793 of the family's 1533-position model. The record is from RNAcentral.
UUACGGAAGGCAGCAGUGGGGAAUAUUGGACAAUGGGGGAAACCCUGAUCCAGCCAUGCCGCGUGAGUGAUGAAGGCCUUCGGGUUGUAAAGCUCUUUCGCACGCGACGAUGAUGACGGUAGCGUGAGAAGAAGCCCCGGCUAACGUCGUGCCAGCAGCCGCGGUAAUACGAAGGGGGCAAGCGUUGUUCGGAAUUACUGGGCGUAAAGGGCGCGUAGGCGGUGCGUUAAGUUAGGCGUGAAAGCCCUGGGCUCAACCCGGGAACUGCGCUUGAUACUGGCGCGCUAGAAUCCAGGAGAGGUUGGUGGAAUUCCCAGUGUAGAGGUGAAGUUCGUAGAGAUUGGGAAGAACACCGGUGGCGAAGGCGGCCAACUGGACUGGUAUUGACGCUGAGGCGCGAAAGCGUGGGGAGCAAACAGGAUUAGAUACCCCAGUAC